GAUGAACGCUGGCGGCGUGCUUAACACAUGCAAGUCGAACGGUGAAGGCGGAGCUUGCUCUGCUGGAUCAGUGGCGAACGGGUGAGUAACACGUGAGCAAUCUGCCCCUGACUCUGGGAUAAGCGCUGGAAACGGCGUCUAAUACUGGAUACGAGCUGCGAAGGCAUCUUCAGCAGCUGGAAAGAAUUUCGGUCAGGGAUGAGCUCGCGGCCUAUCAGCUUGUUGGUGAGGUAAUGGCUCACCAAGGCGUCGACGGGUAGCCGGCCUGAGAGGGUGACCGGCCACACUGGGACUGAGACACGGCCCAGACUCCUACGGGAGGCAACAGUGGGGAAUAUUGCACAAUGGGCGAAAGCCUGAUGCAGCAACGCCGCGUGAGGGACGACGGCCCUCGGGUUGUAAACCUCUUUUAGCAGGGAAGAAGCGAAAGUGACGGUACCUGCAGAAAAAGCGCCGGCUAACUACGU
RNAcentral lists this ribosomal RNA (467 nucleotides) under uncultured bacterium. RNAcentral describes it as "partial 16S ribosomal RNA". It matches the Rfam family "Bacterial small subunit ribosomal RNA", at positions 28 to 506 of the family's 1533-position model. The record is from RNAcentral.